CUACGGGUUGCUCCAGUGGGGAAUCUUAGACAAUGGGCGCAAGCCUGAUCUAGCCAUGCCGCGUGAGCGAUGAAGGCCUUAGGGUUGUAAAGCUCUUUCAGCGAGGAAGAUAAUGACUGUACUCGCAGAAGAAGCCCCGGCUAACUCCGUGCCAGCAGCCGCGGUAAUACGGAGGGGGCUAGCGUUGUUCGGAAUUACUGGGCGUAAAGCGCACGUAGGCGGAGCAGAAAGUCAGAGGUGAAAUCCCAGGGCUCAACCCUGGAACUGCCUUUGAAACUCCUGAUCUUGAGGUCGAGAGAGGGGAGUGGAAUUCCGAGUGUAGAGGUGAAAUUCGUAGAUAUUCGGAGGAACACCAGUGGCGAAGGCGGCUCACUGGCUCGAUACUGACGCUGAGGUGCGAAAGCGUGGGGAGCAAACAGGAUUAGAUACCCGGGUAGUC
Molecule: ribosomal RNA, 439 nt
Filed under: uncultured bacterium
Lineage: Bacteria
Description: partial 16S ribosomal RNA
Rfam family: Bacterial small subunit ribosomal RNA
Source: RNAcentral